GCAGCGGUGGGUCAGUGGUAGGAUCCUUGCCUUCCACACAGGAGGCCUGGGUUAGAUUCCCGGCCAAUGCA
RNAcentral lists this transfer RNA (71 nucleotides) under Loxodonta africana (African savanna elephant). It matches the Rfam family "tRNA". Rfam says of the family: Transfer RNA (tRNA) molecules are approximately 80 nucleotides in length. Their secondary structure includes four short double-helical elements and three loops (D, anti-codon, and T loops). Lineage: Eukaryota; Metazoa; Chordata; Mammalia; Proboscidea; Elephantidae. The record is from Rfam by way of RNAcentral.